GGUGUGUUGGGUCAGGAGUCGGCGGGAUGGUGAAGGGGGAGAGGGUUAGUGGUAGUUAAUGUGCUGAAAGGGGGCUUAGGUUGUUGUUUAAGUCUGCUGUGAAAUCCCCGGGCGCAACCUGGGAAUGGCAGUGGAGACUGGAAAGGUAGAGUGCGGUAGAGGGUAGUGGAAUUCCCGGUGUAGCAGUGAAAUGCGUAGAGAUCGGGAGGAACACCAGUGGCGAAGGCGGCUACCUGGACCAGCACUGACACUGAGGCACGAAAGCGUGGGGAGCAAACAGGAUUAGAUGCCCUAGUAGUC
Molecule: ribosomal RNA, 300 nt
Filed under: uncultured Bacillus sp.
Lineage: Bacteria; Bacillati; Bacillota; Bacilli; Caryophanales; Bacillaceae
Description: bacterial SSU rRNA
Rfam family: Bacterial small subunit ribosomal RNA (bases 52-300)
Source: RNAcentral